RNAcentral lists this ribosomal RNA (253 nucleotides) under uncultured bacterium. RNAcentral's name for it is "partial 16S ribosomal RNA". It matches the Rfam family "Bacterial small subunit ribosomal RNA", at positions 524 to 776 of the family's 1533-position model. The record is from RNAcentral.
UACGUAGGGUGCGAGCGUUGCCCGGAUUUACUGGGCGUAAAGCGCACGUAGGCGGAUCGUUAAGUCGGGGGUGAAAUCCUGGAGCUCAACUCCAGAACUGCCUUCGAUACUGGCGAUCUUGAGUCCGGAAGAGGUGAGUGGAACUCCUAGUGUAGAGGUGGAAUUCGUAGAUAUUAGGAAGAACACCAGUGGCGAAGGCGGCUCACUGGUCCGGUACUGACGCUGAGGUGCGAAAGCGUGGGGAGCAAACAGG